Molecule: ribosomal RNA, 253 nt
Filed under: uncultured bacterium
Lineage: Bacteria
Description: partial 16S ribosomal RNA
Rfam family: Bacterial small subunit ribosomal RNA
Source: RNAcentral
UACGUAGGGUGCGAGCGUUGUCCGGAAUUAUUGGGCGUAAAGGGCUCGUAGGCGGUUUGUCGCGUCGGGAGUGAAAACCCAGGGCUUAACCCUGGGCUGGCUUCCGAUACGGGCAGACUAGAGUACGGCAGGGGAGACUGGAAUUCCUGGUGUAGCGGUGAAAUGCGCAGAUAUCAGGAGGAACACCGGUGGCGAAGGCGGGUCUCUGGGCCGUAACUGACGCUGAGGAGCGAAAGCGUGGGGAGCGAACAGG